AUUGAACGCUGGCGGCAUGCCUUGCACAUGCAAGUCGAACGGCAGCAUGAUCUAUCUUGCUAGAUUGAUGGCGAGUGGCGAUCGGGUGAGUAAUACAUCGGAACUUGCUCUGUAGUGGGGGAUCACUAGUCGAAUGAUUACCUAAUACCCCAUACCACCGGCGGGUGAAAGUGGCGGGCCGCAAGGCCUCAUGCUGUAUGAGCGGCCGAUGUCUGAUUAGCUAGGUGGUGAGGUAAGGGCUCACCAAGGCGCCGAUCGGUACCUGUACUGAGAGGCCGAGCAGCCACACGGGGACUGAGACUGGGCCCAGACUCCUACGGGAGGCAGCAGUGGGGAAUUUUGGACUAAGGGCGAAAGCGUGAUCCAGCAAUGCCGCGUGUGUGAAGAAGGACUUCGGGUUGUAAAGCAAUUUUGUCCGGAAAGAAAUGACUCUGGUUAAUACCUGGGGUGAAUGACGGUACCGGAAGAAUAAGGACCGGCUAACUACGUG
Molecule: ribosomal RNA, 490 nt
Filed under: uncultured bacterium
Lineage: Bacteria
Description: partial 16S ribosomal RNA
Rfam family: Bacterial small subunit ribosomal RNA
Source: RNAcentral